UCUUACCUUCGUGUUCUUGAUUAACAAUUCGGUAUAAUUAAUUUGACUUAAUAGGAAGUGUAUUAAUUUAAAUGAAACAAUAGGUAAAAUUGUAGUCUCAAGUCUUCAUUAUCUAGUUUCAUUCUAGGGAUAGUAUUAGUUUAAUUAAUUACUUUAAUUCAAAAUAUCAAAUCAAUCGUUUAAAUAAGAUUAAGUAGGUUACGGGUUGGUACUUGGUAAUUUUCAUUAAAUAAUUCUCUGUGGGAACGAUACUCUACGUACUCUUUAUUACUUGUUGAUCGUGUAUACUUGC
RNAcentral lists this long non-coding RNA (292 nucleotides) under Panax ginseng (ginseng). RNAcentral describes it as "long non-coding RNA (PGIN_LNC016287)". The record is from RNAcentral. Lineage: Eukaryota; Viridiplantae; Streptophyta; Magnoliopsida; Apiales; Araliaceae.